RNAcentral lists this ribosomal RNA (253 nucleotides) under uncultured bacterium. RNAcentral describes it as "partial 16S ribosomal RNA". It matches the Rfam family "Bacterial small subunit ribosomal RNA", at positions 524 to 776 of the family's 1533-position model. The record is from RNAcentral.
UACAGAGGGGGCAAGCGUUAUUCGGAAUUAUUGGGCGUAAAGGGCGCGUAGGCGGCCUGGCAAGUGGAAGGUGAAAUCCCUCGGCUUAACCGAGGAACUGCCCUCCAAACUGCUUGGCUUGAGUCCGGGAGAGGUGAGUGGAAUUCCCAGUGUAGCGGUGAAAUGCGUAGAUAUUGGGAGGAACACCAGUGGCGAAGGCGGCUCACUGGACCGGAACUGACGCUGAGGCGCGAAAGCGUGGGGAUCAAACAGG